RNAcentral lists this ribosomal RNA (584 nucleotides) under uncultured bacterium. Its description in RNAcentral is "partial 16S ribosomal RNA". It matches the Rfam family "Bacterial small subunit ribosomal RNA", at positions 355 to 935 of the family's 1533-position model. The record is from RNAcentral.
UGGGGAAUUUUGGACAAUGGGGGAAACCCUGAUCCAGCCAUCCCGCGUGUGCGAUGAAGGCCUUCGGGUUGUAAAGCACUUUUGGCAGGAAAGAAACGUCGCGGGUUAAUACCCCGCGAAACUGACGGUACCUGCAGAAUAAGCACCGGCUAACUACGUGCCAGCAGCCGCGGUAAUACGUAGGGUGCAAGCGUUAAUCGGAAUUACUGGGCGUAAAGCGUGCGCAGGCGGUUCGGAAAGAAAGAUGUGAAAUCCCAGAGCUUAACUUUGGAACUGCAUUUUUAACUACCGGGCUAGAGUGUGUCAGAGGGAGGUGGAAUUCCGCGUGUAGCAGUGAAAUGCGUAGAUAUGCGGAGGAACACCGAUGGCGAAGGCAGCCUCCUGGGAUAACACUGACGCUCAUGCACGAAAGCGUGGGGAGCAAACAGGAUUAGAUACCCUGGUAGUCCACGCCCUAAANGAUGUCAACUAGCUGUUGGGGCCUUCGGGCCUUGGUAGCGCAGCUAACGCGUGAAGUUGACCGCCUGGGGAGUACGGUCGCAAGAUUAAAACUUAAAUGAAUUGACGGGGGUGCAUAGCUGUUU